AACCUAAAGAAACACAUAUUUGGCAAGGCUUUCCUAGGAGUCUUUGACAUUUCCAGGAGUAUAGUUUUAUGACCAGGUGGUAGUUUGACCCUUCCUCUGUACCCUGAACCUAAAGAAACACAUAUUUGGCAAGGCUUUCCUAGGAGUCUUUGACAUUUCCAGGAGUAUAGUUUUAUGACCAGGUGGUAGUUUGACCCUUCCUCUGUACCCUGAACCUAAAGAAACACAUAUUUGGCAAGGCUUUCCUAGGAGUCUUUGACAUUUCCAGGAGUAUAGUUUUAUGACCAGGUGGUAGUUUGACCCUUCCUCUGUACCCUGAACCUAAAGAAACACAUAUUUGGCAAGGCUUUCCUAGGAGUCUUUGACAUUUCCAGGAGUAUAGUUUUAUGACCAGGUGGUAGUUUGACCCUUCCUCUGUACCCUGAACCUAAAGAAACACUCAUUAGAACCCGAUUGCCCCCUCUUUGACCUUCAGAAAUACAGAACAUAGUUGACGUGAGAAGCAAAGGUGUCUUAUAAUACCAAUCCCAGGAUAUAGUUAAUAUUGUGUCAUCAAAACCCAGAUUAAAUUCAAACCUCUCCUGCGUCCAUCCCACUCUGAUUGGGCUCAUGUUAACGCCGCCCUGCACUGUGACGCCUUGUUUAAGAGGCCCCCGAGCCAAGAAGGACGGAACAGAGAGGGAGAAAGCUGUUGCUGAGAGGGAGAAAAUAUAAGAAAGAUUUUAAUGGAAGCGACCAAGAUAGAUAAUGGAGAGAGAGAGAGAGAGAGAGAGAGAGAGAGAGAGAGAGAGAGAGAGAGAGAGAGAGAGAGAGAAUUACCUCCACUA
Long non-coding RNA from Eriocheir sinensis (Chinese mitten crab), 827 nucleotides. RefSeq lists it as uncharacterized. The record is from RefSeq and is a predicted model, not a curated record. Lineage: Eukaryota; Metazoa; Arthropoda; Malacostraca; Decapoda; Varunidae. The transcript has 3 exons.